UACGUAGGGCGCAAGCGUUAUCUGGAAUUAUUGGGCGUAAAGAGCUCGUAGGCGGUUUGUCGCGUCUGCCGUGAAAGUCCGGGGCUCAACUCCGGAUCUGCGGUGGGUACGGGCAGACUAGAGUGAUGUAGGGGAGACUGGAAUUCCUGGUGUAGCGGUGAAAUGCGCAGAUAUCAGGAGGAACACCGAUGGCGAAGGCAGGUCUCUGGGCAUUAACUGACGCUGAGGAGCGAAAGCAUGGGGAGCGAACAGG
Molecule: ribosomal RNA, 253 nt
Filed under: uncultured bacterium
Lineage: Bacteria
Description: partial 16S ribosomal RNA
Rfam family: Bacterial small subunit ribosomal RNA
Source: RNAcentral